This 591-nucleotide ribosomal RNA is filed under the name uncultured bacterium. RNAcentral's name for it is "bacterial SSU rRNA". It matches the Rfam family "Bacterial small subunit ribosomal RNA", at positions 51 to 633 of the family's 1533-position model. The record is from RNAcentral.
ACACAUGCAAGUCGAACGGUAACAUGACUAGCUUGCUAGUUGAUGACGAGUGGCGGACGGGUGAGUAACGCGUAGGAAUCUACCCAGUAGCGGGGGAUAAGCCAGAGAAAUUUGGUCUAAUACCGCAUACGCCCUACGGGGGAAAGCAGGGGAUCUUCGGACCUUGCACUAUUGGAUGAGCCUGCGUGAGAUUAGCUUGUUGGUGAGGUAAUGGCUCACCAAGGCGACGAUCUCUAGCUGGUCUGAGAGGAUGAUCAGCCACACUGGAACUGAGACACGGUCCAGACUCCUACGGGAGGCAGCAGUGGGGAAUAUUGCACAAUGGGCGCAAGCCUGAUGCAGCCUUGCCGCGUGUGUGAAGAAGGCCCAAGGGUUGUAAAGCACUUUCAGCAGUGAGGAAAGGUUGUACGUUAAUACCGUGCAACUGUGACGUUAACUGCAGAAGAAGCACCGGCUAACUCCGUGCCAGCAGCCGCGGUAAUACGGAGGGUGCGAGCGUUAAUCGGAAUUACUGGGCGUAAAGCGCGCGUAGGUGGAUUGGUCAGUCAGAUGUGAAAGCCCAGGGCUCAACCUUGGAACUGCACCUGAUAC